AACUCGGUGGUGGCCACUGCGCAGACCAGACUUCGCUCGUACUCGCGCGCCUCGCUCCGCUUUUCCUCCGCAACCAUGUCUGACAAACCCGAUAUGGCUGAGAUCGAGAAAUUCGAUAAGCCGAAACUGAAGAAGACAGAGACGCAAGAGAAAAAUCCACUGCCUUCCAAAGAAACGAUUGAACAGGAGAAGCAAGCAGGCGAAUCGUAAUGAGGCGUGCGCCGCCAAUAUGCACUGUACAUUCCACAAGCAUUGCCUUCUUAUUUUACUUCUUUUAGCUGUUUAACUUUGUAAGAUGCAAAGAACUACUGACAACGAAGGCCGCGCCUGCCUUUCCCAUCUGUCUGUCUGGCUGGCAGGGAAGGAAAGAACUUGCAUGUUGGUGAAGGAAGAAGUGGGGUGGAAGAAGUGGGGUGGGACAACAGUGAAAUCUAGAGUAAAACCAAGCUGGCCCAAGGUGUCCUGCAGGCUGUAAUGCAGUUUAAUCAGAGUGCCAUUUUUUUUUUGUUCAAAUGAUUUUAAUUAUUGGAAUGCACAAUUUUUUUAAUAUGCAAAUAAAAAGUUU
This 565-nucleotide long non-coding RNA is filed under the name Homo sapiens (human). RNAcentral's name for it is "non-protein coding lnc-SNCA-3:1". Lineage: Eukaryota; Metazoa; Chordata; Mammalia; Primates; Hominidae. The record is from RNAcentral.